RNAcentral lists this ribosomal RNA (447 nucleotides) under uncultured bacterium. Its description in RNAcentral is "bacterial SSU rRNA". It matches the Rfam family "Bacterial small subunit ribosomal RNA", at positions 331 to 794 of the family's 1533-position model. The record is from RNAcentral.
CCAGACUCCUACGGGAGGCAGCAGUGGGGGAUAUUGCACAAUGGGGGAAACCCUGAUGCGGCGACGCCGCGUGAGUGAAGAAGUAUUUCGGUACGUAAAGCUCUAUCAGCAGGGAAGAAAAAUGACGGUACCUGACUAAGAAGCCCCGGCUAACUACGUGCCAGCAGCCGCGGUAAUACGUAGGGGGCAAGCGUUAUCCGGAAUUACUGGGUGUAAAGGGAGCGUAGACGGCUGUGCAAGUCUGGAGUGAAAGGCGGGGGCCCAACCCCCGGACUGCUCUGGAAACUGUAUGGCUGGAGUGCAGGAGAGGUAAGCGGAAUUCCUAGUGUAGCGGUGAAAUGCGUAGAUAUUAGGAGGAACACCAGUGGCGAAGGCGGCUUACUGGACUGUAACUGACGUUGAGGCUCGAAAGCGUGGGGAGCAAACAGGAUUAGAUACCCGUGUAAU